This 103-nucleotide small nuclear RNA is filed under the name Tupaia belangeri (northern tree shrew). Lineage: Eukaryota; Metazoa; Chordata; Mammalia; Scandentia; Tupaiidae. The record is from RNAcentral.
GUGCUUCAGCAGCACAUAUACUAAAAUUAGAACGAUACAGAGAAGAUUAGCAUGGCCCCUGCUCAAGGAUGACAUGCAAAUUCAUGAAGAGUUCCAUAUUUAA